Molecule: ribosomal RNA, 253 nt
Filed under: uncultured bacterium
Lineage: Bacteria
Description: partial 16S ribosomal RNA
Rfam family: Bacterial small subunit ribosomal RNA
Source: RNAcentral
UACGGGGGGGGCAAGCGUUGUUCGGAAUUACUGGGCGUAAAGGGCUUGUAGGUGGCCAACUAAGUCAGACGUGAAAUCCCUCGGCUUAACCGGGGAACUGCGUCUGAUACUGGAUGGCUCGAGUGUGGGAGAGGGAUGCGGAAUUCCAGGUGUAGCGGUGAAAUGCGUAGAUAUCCGGAGGAACACCGGUGGCGAAGGCGGCUUCCUGGACCGACACUGACGCUGAGGCGCGAAAGCUAGGGGAGCAAACGGG